Molecule: long non-coding RNA, 1734 nt
Organism: Magnolia sinica
Lineage: Eukaryota; Viridiplantae; Streptophyta; Magnoliopsida; Magnoliales; Magnoliaceae
Exons: 9
Source: RefSeq, a predicted model, not a curated record
CCGGAGUGGAUAGGAAACCUGUCCUCGCUUCGAAGUUUGCAGACUGACGGUUGUGAUAAAUUGACAUGUUUGCCAUCAGGGUUGCAAUUCCUUACAAACCUCCAAAUUCUAAAAAUCUGGAAUUGGCAAAGUCUAACGGCUCUGCCGGAGUGGAUAGGAAACCUCUCCUCACUUCGAUAUUUGGAAAUUUACGAAUGUCCUCAAUUGGAGUGUUUGCCAUCAGGGUUGCAACUCCUAACAAAUCUCCAAAGUCUAACAAUCAUACGAUGCCCCCAAUUAGAGAUGCGAUGCGAGAAGGAGAAAGGCGAGGAUUGGCACUACAUAUCACGCAUCCCAGAUAUCCAGAUUUACUAGACUGUCCCCAUUUAAGAUUGAGUGCGAUGGAGCCACACAUGGGCAUCAAACACCGGAGACAAGUCAGGAGCUCAUGAUAAUCAUUAUCUAAGGCUAAUGCUACCUUGAAUGCUUGCAUGGUUGAAGUUACACUGUAAAUGAUCAGUUCAAGUCUAAGGAUUAGAGAUAUGUUUAAGGAUGAAAGUGGUUAUUGAAGGAGGGAAUUCUUGGCUAUUACAAAUGAUGUCAAGAUUUUCUUGGCCUUUGGAAAGUGCAUUCUUUCCUCGAAGCCAAGCUCUAUUUUGAAUGAGUUAAGAUAGCUUGAAUUUUGUUAAAGAAAGAACCAAGCUAUAAACUGGGCAUGCAGCUUAUGGGAGGGGAAAGGAGUGGAUGAUCAGGAGGGACCCCUGAACUAGUGUUGAUCUACAUGACAGUCCAUAAAUGUGAGUGAGCUGCAUCAUUCUUCCAUGAAGCUUUCCUCUACUCCCACUCAUAACAGUAAAGGCAAAAUGAACAAUGCGAAAGUUAACUUCUUGGUCAGUUAUCAUUUGCAAAAUAUCAAAAGUUGAUAAUACAAGGAAUUCUAAGUGGACUUGCUCAUGUGUGGUGGAUGUAGGUUGGUCGUAGCUCGCCUGCCAACUUACGGUAUAUGUUAUAGACCUGGGCAUUCAUCUGCUGAUAAUAGGCAAAAACUAUGACAUGAUGUUUGUGAGCUACAUCAGGCAUCCAGCUCUCUGUUCUAAUAUUAAAGGAAUGGGCCAAAAGAGGGAAGCAAUGAUUGACUGUGGACAGCCAGCAUCCCCACGAUGGAGAAUGACCAUAUAAAGAUCUUUCUUCAUUGAAGAAAACUCUCUUGAGUUGCAUUGGUGUUGAUAUAUCAUCAUGCAGGAACCGGACACAUAGAAUUCCUAAGAUAAGAAGCAACAAUAGCUGGUGAAUGCCAACACUAAGGAUAGAAGCAUCUAUGAACAAGCUUGUCUUCUUUCAGCGAUUUGAGUAGUCCUUAAAAGAUAUUCAGGGAUUAACUACCCCAGAAAGUGCAAAAAGGAAUGACGAAAUUCUGAAAAUAAGAUCAAGAUUGUGCUUUGUUGACCAUCAGGAGUAUACAUGUGUUGGUGUGUUUUAUAUAGUCCGGUUGCUUCUUAUAUUCUCUCAUGAUUCCUUGCCUAAUGUCGUGGUUGUGUGGAUCUCUUAAUUGGCAAUUCUGCAAAAAUCAUUCAGAAGGCAGGAUCACAAGAUUAAUGUAAGACUUGAAACACAUGUUGGUGAUCCAAGCCCUUGAACACACUGGUGUCAUGAUGAAUGUGUCUUCACCUACUAUCAGUUUUGUCCAUUCAUCAAGUGAGCCACACUUCUAUCGAGAAAAUGGAUGCUUAAAAGAUCGAUAAGAUGAUAACCAAU